RNAcentral lists this ribosomal RNA (253 nucleotides) under uncultured bacterium. RNAcentral describes it as "partial 16S ribosomal RNA". It matches the Rfam family "Bacterial small subunit ribosomal RNA", at positions 524 to 776 of the family's 1533-position model. The record is from RNAcentral.
UACGUAGGGUCCGAGCGUUGUCCGGAAUUACUGGGCGUAAAGAGCUCGUAGGCGGUUUGUCGCGUCUGCUGUGAAAACCUAAGGCUCAACCUUGGGCUUGCAGUGGGUGCGGGCAGACUAGAGUGCGGUAGGGGUGACUGGAAUUCCUGGUGUAGCGGUGAAAUGCGCAGAUAUCAGGAGGAACACCGGUGGCGAAGGCGGGACUCUGGGCCGAUACUGACGCUGAGGAGCGAAAGCGUGGGGAGCAAACAGG